GGUUANGGCGCAGCCUGAUCCAGCCAUGCCGCGGUGAGUGAAGAAGGCCUUCGGGUUGUAAAGCUCUUUCGGCGGGGAAGAAAUUGCACUCUCUAAUACAGGGUGUAGAUGACGGUACCCGCAUAAGAAGCACCGGCUAACUACGUGCCAGCAGCCGCGGUAAUACGUAGGGUGCGAGCGUUAAUCGGAAUUACUGGGCGUAAAGCGUGCGCAGGUGGUUGUGUAAGUCAGAUGUGAAAUCCCCGGGCUCAACCUGGGAACUGCAUUUGAGACUGCACGGCUAGAGGAUGGCAGAGGGGGGUAGAAUUCCACGUGUAGCAGUGAAAUGCGUAGAGAUGUGGAGGAAUACCGAUGGCGAAGGCAGCCCCCUGGGCUAUUUCUGACACUCAUGCACGAAAGCGUGGGGAGCAAACAGGAUUAGAUACCCUGGUAGUCCACGCCCUAAACGAUGUCAACUAGAUGUUGGAAGGGUUAAACCUUUUAGUGUCGUAGCUAACGCGUGAAGUUGACCGCCUGGGGAGUACGGCCGCAAGGCUAAAACUCAAAGGAAUUGACGGGGACCCGCACAAGCGGUGGAUGAUGUGGAUUAAUUCGAUGCAACGCGAAAAACCUUACCUACCCUUGACAUGUCAGGAAUCCCGGAGAGAUUUGGGAGUGCUCGAAAGAGAACCUGAACACAGGUGCUGCAUGGCUGUCGUCAGCUCGCGUCGUGAGAUNUUGGGUUAAGUCCCGCAACGAGCGCAACCCUUGUCAUUAGUUGCUACAUUUAGUUGGGCACUCUAAUGAGACUGCCGGUGACAAACCGGAGGAAGGUGGGGAUGACGUCAAGUCCUCAUGGCCCUUAUAGGUGGGGCUACACACGUCAUACAAUGGCUGGUACAAAGGGNUUGCCAACCCGCGAGGGG
This 905-nucleotide ribosomal RNA is filed under the name uncultured bacterium. RNAcentral describes it as "bacterial SSU rRNA". It matches the Rfam family "Bacterial small subunit ribosomal RNA", at positions 367 to 1264 of the family's 1533-position model. The record is from RNAcentral.